AGCUCUAAUUCAACUUCAUGAAGC
Molecule: small nuclear RNA, 24 nt
Filed under: Arabidopsis thaliana (thale cress)
Lineage: Eukaryota; Viridiplantae; Streptophyta; Magnoliopsida; Brassicales; Brassicaceae
Description: snRNA_06701
Source: RNAcentral